CGGGGGGAAAGAAACAACAGGGAUUGCCCUAGUAACGGCGAGUGAAGCGGCAACAGCUCAAAUUUGAAAUCUGGCCCCCGGGUCCGAGUUGUAAUUUGUAGAGGAUGCUUUUGGCGAGGUGCCUUCCGAGUUCCCUGGAACGGGACGCCAUAGAGGGUGAGAGCCCCGUCUGGUCGGACACCGAGCCUCUGUAAAGCUCCUUCGACGAGUCGAGUAGUUUGGGAAUGCUGCUCAAAAUGGGAGGUAUAUGUCUUCUAAAGCUAAAUAUUGGCCAGAGACCGAUAGCGCACAAGUAGAGUGAUCGAAAGAUGAAAAGCACUUUGAAAAGAGGGUUAAAAAGUACGUGAAAUUGUUGAAAGGGAAGCGCCUAUGACCAGACUUGGGCCCGGUGAAUCACCCAGCGUUCUCGCUGGUGCACUUCGCCGGGCACAGGCCAGCAUCAGUUUGGCGCGGGGGAGAAAGGCUUCGGGAAUGUGGCUCCCCUGGGAGUGUUAUAGCCCGUUGCGCAAUACCCUGCGCUGGACUGAGGUACGCGCAUUCGCAAGGAUGCUGGCGUAAUGGUCAUCAGCGACCCGUCUUGAAACACGGACCAAGGAGUCGUCUUCGUAUGCGAGUGUUCGGGUGUCAAACCCCUACGCGUAAUGAAAGUGAACGCAGGUGAGAGCUUCGGCGCAUCAUCGACCGAUCCUGAUGUUCUCGGAUGGAUUUGAGUAAGAGCAUACGGGGCCGGACCCGAAAGAAGGUGAACUAUGCCUGUAUAGGGUGAAGCCAGAGGAAACUCUGGUGGAGGCUCGCAGCGGUUCUGACGUGCGAAUCGAUCGUCAAAUAUGGGCAUGGGGGCGAAAGACUAAUCGAACCUUCUAGUAGCUGGUUUCGCCGAUUUCCUCUCUCCCCGGGAAAA
This 901-nucleotide ribosomal RNA is filed under the name Cordyceps militaris. RNAcentral's name for it is "partial large subunit ribosomal RNA". It matches the Rfam family "Eukaryotic large subunit ribosomal RNA", at positions 51 to 981 of the family's 3401-position model. Lineage: Eukaryota; Fungi; Ascomycota; Sordariomycetes; Hypocreales; Cordycipitaceae. The record is from RNAcentral.